Molecule: long non-coding RNA, 1942 nt
Organism: Bos taurus (domestic cattle)
Lineage: Eukaryota; Metazoa; Chordata; Mammalia; Artiodactyla; Bovidae
Source: Ensembl
AUCGCAAAAGGCACUCUGGGUUCCUGCUUGCUCUGUCUUGGAUCAGUCGCUCUGGAGAAAGCCAGCCAUCAUGGCAAGAAGACACUCAAGCAGCCCAACAGGCAAGUCCAGGUGCUGAGGAACUGAGGCCCACAGCCGUGGGAGUGACCCCUGGGGAAGGGGAAUUCUCCAGCCCCAGCCAGGCCUUCAGAUGACUGCAGCUCUGGCCAGCUUCACUACAAAUCCCACGAGACUUUCUUUUAUUAUUCUCCCUUCUAGGUGUAGAUGUCAAUGUUUACCUGCUUCGUAAAAGAAAUAAGUUGUAACUCAAGCAUACAUCAAUACAGUAAACUUUUUAAAACUGAAAGAAAAGAAAAGACGUAAAGAAUGUUCUGAAAUGAUUUCUAGAACAUUGGGACUCUCUGUUCUUUAAAAGAUGUGAGAAACUUCUAUGAAACCAUCUGGACCCAGUGCUUUUUUCUGAGGUAUGAUUCAGGGCCAAAAGGAGAAGGGGGCAACAGAGGAUGAGAUGGUUAGAUAGCUUCACCAACUCAAUGGAAUUUGAGCAAACUCCUGGAGAUAGUGGAGGACAGAGGAUCCUGGUGUGCUACAGUCCAUGGGAUCACAAAGAGUCAAACAUGACUUACCGACUUAACAACAACAAUUCAGUGCAUUAGGAGAGCCAUGAAGAUCCAGUAUUUUACGCCUGUCAUGCCCAGACUGUAGAGCUUCUUGCCUGCAAGUGUGGGUUGUGUCGGGGAAGAGACGCCCAGUUCUCUUCUGCUGCACCUGCCUGGAGCAGAGCUUCAAUAACGAGAGGAUGAGAAACAUGGACCAUCUGCCUUUCUCAAGUGAGAAAGCUAAUUUUUUUUGCCUGCAUGUGUCAUGGAGUCUACAAAUAAGAUUGUGAUAUAAUCUGCUUUUCCUUGUGGUCCUAUAUAUAUACAUAUAUUCUAUUCUAUAGAAUAGAACCACAAGCACUGAAGAAUUGAUGCUUUUGAACUGUGCUGUUGGAGAAGACUCUUGACAGUCCCUUGGACUUCACAGAGAUGAAACCAGUCAAUUCUAAAGGAAAUCAACCCUGAAUAUUAAUUGGAAGGACUGUUUUUGAAGCUGAAGCUCCAAUUUUGGCUACCUGAUGGGAAGGGCUGACUCACUGGAAAAGACCCUGUUGCUGGGAAAGAUUGAAGGCAGAAAGAGAAGAGGGCAACAGAGGAUGAGUUGGUUGGAUGGCAUCACUGACUCAAUGAACAUGAAUCUGAGCAAGCUCCAGGAGUUGGUGAUGGAGAGGGAAGCCUGACAUGCUGCAGUCCAUGGGGUUGCAAAGAGUCGCACACGACUUGGUGACUGAACAACAAAUAUAUAGAAUAGAACCAUAUAUAUACAUAUAUAUCCUGUUGAUCUUUUUUAUUUUAUUUUAUUUUUAAACUUUACAAUAUUGUAUUAGUUUUGCCAAAUAUCGAAAUGAAUCCACCACAGGUAUACCUGUGUUCCCCAUCCUGAACCCUCCUCCCUCCUCCCUCCCCAUACCCUCCCUCUGGGUCGUCCCAGUGCACCAGCCCCAAGCAUCCAGUAUCGUGCAUCAAACCUGGACUGGCGACUCAUUUCAUACAUGAUAUUAUACAUGUUUCAAUGCCAUUCUCCCAAAUCUCCCCACCCUCUCCCUCUCCCACAGAGUCCAUAAGACUGAUCUAUAUAUCAGUGUCUCUUUUGCUGUCUCGUACACAGGGUUAUUGUUACCAUCUUUCUAAAUUCCAUAUAUAUGUGUUAGUAUACUGUAUUGGUGUUUUUCUUUCUGGCUUACUUCACUCUGUAUAAUAGGUUCCAGUUUCAUCCAUCUCAUUAGAACUGAUUCAAAUGUAUUCUUUUUAAUGGCUGAGUAAUACUCCAUUGUGUAUAUGUACCACAGUUUUCUUAUCCAUUCAUCUGCUGAUGGGCAUCUAGGUUGCUUCCAUGUCCUGGC